UUGAGAGACUGAUCGGCCACAAUGGGACUGAGACACGGCCCAUACUCCUACGGGAGGCAGCAGUAGGGAAUCUUCCACAAUGGACGCAAGCCUGAUGGAGCAACACCGCGUGAGUGAAGAAGGGUUUCGGCUCGUAAAGCUCUGUUGUUAAAGAAGAACAUGUAUGAGAGUAACUGUUCAUGCAGUGACGGUAUUCAACCAGAAAGUCACGGCU
RNAcentral lists this ribosomal RNA (214 nucleotides) under Limosilactobacillus gastricus. Its description in RNAcentral is "partial 16S ribosomal RNA". It matches the Rfam family "Bacterial small subunit ribosomal RNA", at positions 292 to 498 of the family's 1533-position model. The record is from RNAcentral. Lineage: Bacteria; Bacillati; Bacillota; Bacilli; Lactobacillales; Lactobacillaceae.